CUCCUACGGGAGGCAGCAGUGAGGAAUAUUGGUCAAUGGGCGCGAGCCUGAACCAGCCAAGUAGCGUGAAGGAUGAAGGUCCUACGGAUUGUAAACUUCUUUUAUAAGGGAAUAAAGUCGCCUACGUGUAGGCGUUUGUAUGUACCUUAUGAAUAAGCAUCGGCUAACUCCGUGCCAGCAGCCGCGGUAAUACGGAGGAUGCGAGCGUUAUCCGGAUUUAUUGGGUUUAAAGGGAGCGUAGACGGAGGAUUAAGUCAGUUGUGAAAGUUUGCGGCUCAACCGUAAAAUUGCAGUUGAUACUGGUUCCCUUGAGUGCAGUUGAGGCAGGCGGAAUUCGUGGUGUAGCGGUGAAAUGCAUAGAUAUCACGAAGAACCCCGAUUGCGAAGGCAGCCUGCUAAGCUGUAACUGACGUUGAGGCUCAAAAGUGUGGGUAUCAAACAGGAUUAGAUACCCUGGUAGUCCACACGGUAAACGAUGGAUACUCGCUGUUGGCGAUAUACUGUCAGCGGCCAAGCGAAAGCAUUAAGUAUCCCACCUGGGGAGUACGCCGGCAACGGUGAAACUCAAAGGAAUUGACGGGGGCCCGCACAAGCGGAGGAACAUGUGGUUUAAUUCGAUGAUACGCGAGGAACCUUACCCGGGCUUAAAUUGCAGACGAAUUACCUGGAAACAGGUAAGCCGCAAGGCGUCUGUGAAGGUGCUGCAUGGUUGUCGUCAGCUCGUGCCGUGAGGUGUCGGCUUAAGUGCCAUAACGAGCGCAACCCUCGUGGUCAGUUACUAACAGGUCAAGCUGAGGACUCUGGCCAGACUGCCAUCGUAAGAUGCGAGGAAGGUGGGGAUGACGUCAAAUCAGCACGGCCCUUACGUCCGGGGCUACACACGUGUUACAAUGGGAGGUACAGAAGGCAGCUACCCGGCGACGGGAUGCCAAUCUCCAAAACCUCUCUCAGUUCGGACUGGAGUCUGCAACCCGACUCCACGAAGCUGGAUUCGCUAGUAAUCGCGCAUCAGCCACGGCGCGGUGAAUACGUUCCCGGGCCUUGUACACACCGC
Molecule: ribosomal RNA, 1054 nt
Filed under: uncultured bacterium
Lineage: Bacteria
Description: bacterial SSU rRNA
Rfam family: Bacterial small subunit ribosomal RNA
Source: RNAcentral